AUUGAACGCUGGCGGAAUGCUUUACACAUGCAAGUCGAGCGGCAGCGCGGGGCAACCCUGGCGGCGAGCGGCGAACGGGUGAGUAACAUAUCGGAACGUACCCAGUCGUGGGGGAUAACUAUCCGAAAGGAUAGCUAAUACCGCAUACGACCUGAGGGUGAAAGCGGGGGACCCGUAAGGCCUCGCGCGAUUGGAGCGGCCGAUAUCGGAUUAGCUAGUAGGUGGGGUAAAGGCCCACCAAGGCGACGAUCUGUAGCUGGUCUGAGAGGACGACCAGCCACACUGGGACUGAGACACGGCCCAGACUCCUACGGGAGGCAGCAGUGGGGAACUUUGGACAAUGGGCGCAAGCCUGAUCCAGCAAUGCCGCGUGCCAGG
Molecule: ribosomal RNA, 378 nt
Filed under: uncultured bacterium
Lineage: Bacteria
Description: bacterial SSU rRNA
Rfam family: Bacterial small subunit ribosomal RNA
Source: RNAcentral